UUCAAUUAAUGGACACAUGUCACCAUAUGGAUGGAGACACAUGGGUAGAAAUGAUUACAUGGACACGUGACGUAAUUUGGAUGGAAAAUUAAAAGUAAUAAUUAAACACCAAUCUCGAGGGACACGUGGCACCGUAGGAUGGAAGCAAUGAUGGAGGCUCACAUCUUGAGGGACACAUGUCGUAGUAGGAAGAAAGUAAUAAUGAAAGCUCAUAUCUCGAGGACACGUGGCGCCGUAGGAUGAAAGCAAUCAUUACGGCUCAAAUCUCCAUAACAUGUGGCGAAAAUUCAUUCGUUAAAGGGUUAAAAAUGUCAUGAUAAGGCUCAUAUCUCAAGAGCCACUUGUCACCAUGGGAAGAAAGCAAUAAUUAGGGUGUAAAUCUCAAGUGCCAAGUGUCACCAUCUUAGAAAGCCAAGUGUCACAAUCCUAUGGAUUUAAGGGCACUAUAUAAGAAUGCCUUGGGUUGGGUUUUUGGCCACCAAAUUAAGGGGGUAAGUUGCUUAUAAAGGAGGGGAAACUCUGCUGUAAAGAAGGGAAGGAAACCCUGCCCGAGUAGGAGCCGAAAGCAAGCCGUUGGAAGGCACGAGCCCCUUGAAAUCCGUGCAAAACAGUAACCAAAACUGCAAGGUUUGGAUACAAAAAGGUCUCGGUUUUUAUAGAACAGUCCACUUGGAGCGACGUUUGGCCGUGAAUUUGUGCAACCAAGAAGUGGGAAGCUUCGAUCUGUCAGGCUCGG
Diospyros lotus (date-plum) is the source of this 736-nucleotide long non-coding RNA. RefSeq lists it as uncharacterized. Lineage: Eukaryota; Viridiplantae; Streptophyta; Magnoliopsida; Ericales; Ebenaceae. The transcript has 3 exons. The record is from RefSeq and is a predicted model, not a curated record.